CAGUUUAAAUCUUAAUUAGUAAAGUAUUUCAUUUACAUUGAAAAGAAAUUUGUGCAAAUCAAUUUAAAUUGA
This 72-nucleotide transfer RNA is filed under the name Chagasia sp. SP54_C. RNAcentral describes it as "tRNA-Val". It matches the Rfam family "tRNA". Rfam says of the family: Transfer RNA (tRNA) molecules are approximately 80 nucleotides in length. The record is from RNAcentral. Lineage: Eukaryota; Metazoa; Arthropoda; Insecta; Diptera; Culicidae.